This 253-nucleotide ribosomal RNA is filed under the name uncultured bacterium. RNAcentral describes it as "partial 16S ribosomal RNA". It matches the Rfam family "Bacterial small subunit ribosomal RNA", at positions 524 to 776 of the family's 1533-position model. The record is from RNAcentral.
UACGGAGGGGGCGAGCGUUAUUCGGAAUUAUUGGGCGUAAAGGGCGCGUAGGCGGCUUGGCAAGUCAAAGGUGAAAUCCCUCGGCUCAACUGAGGAACUGCCUUUGAAACUGCCUGGCUUGAGGCCGGGAGGGGGUAGCGGAAUUCCCAGUGUAGCGGUGAAAUGCGUAGAUAUUGGGAGGAACACCAGUGGCGAAGGCGGCUAUCUGGACGGUUUCUGACACUAAGACUCGAAAGCGUGGGGAGCAAACAGG